This 432-nucleotide ribosomal RNA is filed under the name uncultured bacterium. Its description in RNAcentral is "partial 16S ribosomal RNA". It matches the Rfam family "Bacterial small subunit ribosomal RNA", at positions 28 to 507 of the family's 1533-position model. The record is from RNAcentral.
AACGAACGCUGGCGGCAUGCCUAACACAUGCAAGUCGAGCGCGCCUGCGGGGUGAGCGGCGGACGGGUGAGUAACGCGUGGGAACGUGCCCUGUUCUACGGAAUAGCCUCGGGAAACUGAGAGUAAUACCGUAUACGCCCUUUGGGGGAAAGCUUUAUCGGAAAAGGAGCGGCCCGCGCUGGAUUAGGUAGUGGGUGGGGUAAUGGCCUACCAAGCCGACGAUCCGUCGCUGGUUUGAGAGGAUGAUCAGCCACACUGGGACUGAGACCCGGCCCCGACUCCUACGGGAGGCAGCGGUGGGGGAUCUUAGGCAAUGGGGGCAACCCUGAUCCAGCCCUGCCGGGUGAGUGAUCAAGGCCUUAGGGUUGUCAAGCUCUUUCAGCUGGGAAGAUAAUGACGGUACCAGCAGAAGAAGCACCGGCUAACUCCGUG